GACGAACGCUGGCGGCGUGCCUAAUACAUGCAAGUUGAACGAUGAUUUCUGGUACUUGUAUCAGAAUGAAGAGUAGCGAACGGGUGAGUAACGCGUGGGUAACCUACCUCUUAGCGGGGGACAACUAUUGGAAACGAUAGCUAAUACCGCAUAACAAUGCUUAACACAUGUUGAGUAUUUGAAAGUACCAAUUGGUACACUAGGAGAUGGACCCGCGUUGUAUUAGCUAGUUGGUAGUGUAAUGGACUACCAAGGCGAUGAUACAUAGCCGACCUGAGAGGGUGAUCGGCCACAUUGGGACUGAGACACGGCCCAAACUCCUACGGGAGGCAGCAGUAGGGAAUCUUCGGCAAUGGACGAAAGUCUGACCGAGCAACGCCGCGUGAGUGAAGAAGGUUUUCGGAUCGUAAAACU
This 414-nucleotide ribosomal RNA is filed under the name uncultured bacterium. RNAcentral's name for it is "bacterial SSU rRNA". It matches the Rfam family "Bacterial small subunit ribosomal RNA", at positions 28 to 432 of the family's 1533-position model. The record is from RNAcentral.